AGCAGUCGCCGCGGUAACACGAAGGGGGCUAGCGUUGUUCGGAAUUACUGGGCGUAAAGCGCACGUAGGCGGAUAUUUAAGUCAGGGGUGAAAUCCCAGAGCUCAACUCUGGAACUGCCUUUGAUACUGGGUAUCUUGAGUAUGGAAGAGGCGAGUGGAAUUCCGAGUGUAGAGGUGAAAUUCGUAGAUAUUCGGAGGAACACCAGUGGCGAAGGCGGCUCACUGAUCCAUUACUGACGCUGAGGUGCGAAAGCGUGGGGAGCAAAUAGGAUUAGAUACCCGGGUAGUCCCUGUCUCUUAUAC
This 303-nucleotide ribosomal RNA is filed under the name uncultured bacterium. RNAcentral describes it as "partial 16S ribosomal RNA". It matches the Rfam family "Bacterial small subunit ribosomal RNA", at positions 507 to 807 of the family's 1533-position model. The record is from RNAcentral.